This 893-nucleotide unclassified non-coding RNA is filed under the name Hevea brasiliensis (rubber tree). Lineage: Eukaryota; Viridiplantae; Streptophyta; Magnoliopsida; Malpighiales; Euphorbiaceae. The record is from RNAcentral.
GGCUCCCCAUCUCGCUGACAGUUUCGAAACCCUAACUUCUCCAUGAAUUCUUAGCUCCGAAGCUUCAAAUUCAGCGAUGGAGGGUGAUUAUUCAAUCCCAGACCACAAGCUAUGUGGUUUCUUUCUUACAGCCGUUGAAAUUUCGUCUCCGCCGCACUCCUCCGAGCUCCAUAGCACCCUCCCUUUAAAUUCACAGUGCUACAUCGCCGGAGACGGUUCUAAUAUCCACUUUGUAACGGAUAACGACGUUGAAUUGUGUCCCAUUGGUUCUCAUACGGAAGAGGACCGGAAUGAUGUUGUUCCGAUGAAGAAGCGGAGCAGAAUUGGAAUGGUGAAUGGUAGUAUAAGCGUGGUGCAUCAGUUGCACAAACUUGUAAUGCAAAAAUGCUUGAAGAUUGUUGCUAGGGUUCUUGAGGUUGUGGAGCGUGGCCAUGAUGAAGAAGUUAGGGCUGUUGUUCUUGUGGAUGUGUACUUGCCUUUAGCUUUGUGGUCCGGUUGGCAGUUCCCCAAGUCUGGCCCUGUUGCUGCAGCACUUUUCCGGCAUAUCAGUUGUGACUGGGAUGCUUGGAGUUCUAUGCUUCAGUCUGCUAAACUUGGUGUUGAAAAGGAUUUUAGUAUUUGGAAUCUGUCCGACUGUCAUGUUCUAGGAUGCAAACUGCAUUGCAGUGCAUCUGACCCUUCCAAGAAAAAGCUCUUUGAGCUCCAUGAAAUUUUUAAGAGCUUACCUAGUGUAGAGAAGAGGGGAAAUCCUGAUUCUUUAAGAGUGAAUCCCCUUGAUACUAGUAGAUCGGGUAUCUGGGUGAUAACAGAUGACAUUUUGAUCAGUAUUCUUUCUUCACUUUGUCCUGCUGAUCUACUCAGGGUUUCUGCAACAUGUCGACAUUUAAAAUUUC